RNAcentral lists this ribosomal RNA (465 nucleotides) under uncultured bacterium. Its description in RNAcentral is "bacterial SSU rRNA". It matches the Rfam family "Bacterial small subunit ribosomal RNA", at positions 330 to 793 of the family's 1533-position model. The record is from RNAcentral.
GCCAGACUCCUACGGGAGGCAGCAGUGAGGAAUAUUGGUCAAUGGGCGCGAGCCUGAACCAGCCAAGUCGCGUGAGGGAAGACGGUCCUAUGGAUUGUAAACCUCUUUUGUCGGGGAGCAAAAGACGCCACGCGUGGCGUUCCGAGAGUACCCGAAGAAAAAGCAUCGGCUAACUCCGUGCCAGCAGCCGCGGUAAUACGGAGGAUGCGAGCGUUAUCCGGAUUUAUUGGGUUUAAAGGGUGCGUAGGCGGGAUGCCAAGUCAGCGGUAAAAAUGCGGUGCUCAACGCCGUCGAGCCGUUGAAACUGGCGUUCUUGAGUGGGCGAGAAGUAUGCGGAAUGCGCGGUGUAGCGGUGAAAUGCAUAGAUAUCGCGCAGAACUCCGAUUGCGAAGGCAGCGUACCGGCGCCAGACUGACGCUGAGGCACGAAAGCGUGGGGAUCGAACAGGAUUAGAUACCCUGGUAC